UGCAGACGCCGUGCGUGUGCUGAGGCGGGGAGCCUCAUUUGAAAAUUAAAAGCUGUGGAGGCUCCUGCUGCUGCACCUGGUAGGCCCUGGGGAGCUCCUGCCCUGAAGAAGGACUUUCUGAGGUUCGCUCCAGCCACAGGCACAGCCUUCUUUGCAAGAGUGGAUGAGCAGUGAGUCCUCGUGCUGUCACAGCACUUGGAGAUCUCAGUGCGAAGAGGGAGCCUGGACACCAUCAUGCAUGACUUGCGCUUUGCAGCUGCUACGCUUCCCUCAGUUCCCUGCACUGUGAUGAAGGAUCAGUGUUAAACCAAAGCCUCCUGGCUCCAGGAAGUUCAACAGCAAGAGCUACGGGACAAAAAGAGGCAGAACUGCCACAAGAAAACUCCUCUGGAAAACAGAGAUCACCACAAGCUUGACAACAACAGCAAGAAACAGCCCUGGUUAAAUGAGGGAGAAUGGGUGCUGGGGGCGGACCUGUUCAAAUAGCAGCAUUAAAAUGCCCAUCAAAAAUUGUGCCUUACAACCACUUA
This is a long non-coding RNA of Lagopus leucura (white-tailed ptarmigan), 530 nucleotides long. RefSeq lists it as uncharacterized. The transcript has 2 exons. The record is from RefSeq and is a predicted model, not a curated record. Lineage: Eukaryota; Metazoa; Chordata; Aves; Galliformes; Phasianidae.